UGCUGUACUCAAAUGCGUACGCAAGCAUUUUAUAAUUCCACUUGAAAAUGCUGCUGAUGAUGUUGAUGAUAAUAUAUGGAUGGUGGGCUAGUUGUUGGAAAAUGCAGUUGGUCUUGCUGAAGAGUUGAGUAGUGAACCAAGGAGGGAAACGAAGUGCACCAAAUGUGUGAAGCAUCCAAAAGAGGGCGGAUGUCGUCAGUGCGAAUAUAUGCCUGAAGGGGCCGUACAAAAAAAUAUGAAGAAAAAAAAAGGGAGGAACUCAUUAAAAUAAAUAAACGAUGUCAUGCAUAAUAGUUGAAAAAUACUCUUAUAUACGCAAAUCCAUGUUGUGUAUAUUAUUGUCGAUGGUUUGUCAAAAGUGCGUUAAAUUACCGGUUGGAAUUGCCAUGUCAAUGUACUCUUGCUUUGAAAACCAAAGAAGAAAAAAAAAAUACAUAAUUAAAUUCGAAAUUUACAUGAGAAGCAGAUAAUUUUGAAAAAUAUAAACUUGGAAAAAAAAAAGAUGCAGCAGAUCUUGUAGUUCAUUGUCUACGAUAUAUGCAAGGGGUUUUUCGCAAGCACGAGAUUGAGAGUAUUGUGAUGUUGACUUGUGGCUAAAGUCUUAUUGCUUGAUUCCAAAUUUUUUUAAACUAUUAUAAUUGUGAAAAGUAUUCUAAAUAUAUUGACUGUUGGCAAAGGAUCAAGGCGUCAUGAGACAAGAGGACGAGAUAGAGAGAUUGCGGAAAAUGUUGAUGGUAAAAUCGAGGUGACGCACAGUCACCCAUCUUUUAUGCCAACUAUAUCCAGCACCAUCAAACCGAAUGAGGAAAUUAAUUGGGCAAUGCGGAAGUUUGCCAACGAUGGUCCAGCAACGCAAUGGAAAGAGAAUUGGUUGGAGGUUUUGUUGAAGCUGUACUGUACACUACUGCCUACUACUGCCUGGCUGAUAGGGCGUAUAAAUACAUGUGGUUUUUUUAAUCACAGUAGCAGACAGAGGAAGCAAUGAAAGAUGAUUAUAUGUCUCUUCGAUACAUAUCUGUUUAACCACAAAAGUUUCACAUUGUGUGUAUAUUGACAAAAUGACGUUAUAAUUGCUGCUGCAGCAUGCUGUUGAACUUGCCUUGUGGUCGAUCCCCUCAUCGAAUACGAUCUUCUUGGACGACUUGGCAUCAUUGAAAGAAUGGCAGGGCCAUUUUGAGGUGGGGUGAUGCGUAACGACGUCGUUAACGCGGGCAUUUGAACCAACCGAAAAUCCCGGAACAUGAACUGCUGCAGCGAUUGACCAGAGAACCAUUAUUCCAAAUGUUGGAGAAAAUAAAAAACAAA
Aphidius gifuensis is the source of this 1305-nucleotide long non-coding RNA. RefSeq lists it as uncharacterized. NCBI's taxonomy places the organism in Eukaryota, Metazoa, Arthropoda, Insecta, Hymenoptera, Braconidae. The record is from RefSeq and is a predicted model, not a curated record. The transcript is spliced from 6 exons.